AAUAUAAGUGAAUAAAAUACUAAAAUGUAAAAUCCAUUAGUAAUAAAAGUUAAAUGAGAUAAGUAAUGAUUGAUGGACAAAAAUGAUAAAUUGAGAUGAUUAAUGGUGGAAGACAGUUUUUAUUUGUGUCAAGGCUCACAAAUUUUGGGGAUUGGUUUUGCAUAUUUAAUUUUGGAAUAUUAAAAAAAAUACUCGAACUUAGGUGAGUGGCAACGAAACAACACACGAAGGUGAGUGGCAAUUUCAUUAUUGUGACUUUGGUUUAAAAUUUUAAAUUUAUUGUGAUCACAUGGGAGUCACGAAGGUGAGUGGCAAUUUCAUUUUUGCAACUUUGGUCUAAAUUUAAUGAGAUCACAUGGAAUUCUCCGUUUUAAAUGAGAGAUGGAGGAUAAGUGUGACCACACAUUAAUGACUAUUAAUUUGUAUUUUAUCUUUUUGAGUGACACAUACUCAACUUUUGUAAUAUUAAAAACCCUUCAACAAGAAAAUUUUUACCAUCUCUCUCAUUCUCUCUUGUCAAGAUCUGGUUGAUGAACUAAGCUAUUAUCAUCUUCUUCACAAGAAAGUCAACACAAGGCAUCCAAAGCCAAGGAUAAGAUUUCAAGAUUAUGAGCAAAGGGGAAGGAGAAACUGAUUCAUUCACACUUGAUCCAAUUUUUGUUGGAAAAGAUGAUGUGGUAGAGGAGGAGAAGGUAGUCGUAAUUGUCGGAAUGGGCGGCGUUGGAAAUAUAGCUUUAACUAGGAAAGUCAUCAAUCGUAGACCAAAGAUGAAGGCUCGAUUUAUAUUUUUAUAAUAUAUUGAUUCCGUGAUCGUUUUUAAAAAAAUUCAUACAAGAAGAUUUGAAAGAUAAAACUUAUCUUCUUGUACUUGAUGAUGUUUGGAAUGAAUAUAUUAUAAAAAUAUAUGAGUUACUUCCACUAAGGGAAGUAAUAUUAUCAUUAUUUAGGAAUAGGAAUGAGAUUGCCUUAGGAAUAAGAUUGUCUUAUGUUUAUUCUUAGCUUAUCUAAUGAACGGGUCCAUAAUCAAAGCAAAAACUUUUGGACAUGGAAUGUUAGGUCAAAAUUUAAUAUAUUUGAAGAAUAAUAAUAGCAUAAAGAUAUAGGUUUUCCCUUGAUGAUAAUUGGGUUUCACAUGGUGGAGGAGGUGAAAAUAUCUCAAAAAUAUUGAAAUUGGGGCUUUUGAUCAUUUGCCUCCACCAAGUGCUUCUUGUAUUUUUUUGAUGAGAUUGAAGAGAAUGGCAUUGUCCUGGGGUUGGCGAGACAUAGAUUGACACGCCCUCGUACUCAUCCUCAGCCGCGUAUAGCACUCUUGCUCCGGUUGAAGUACUAUUGCCUAGUGAGCUGAUUACUCGAGGUCGAACUGAGGCGUUUAAGCUUGCCUUGCGAGGUUUGGCUAAGGAGACAGUGGGCUCUAAAUCCUUAUGCAAUAGAAGAAACCAUUAGUCCAAGAGUUGAUGAUUCAAAGUCUGUAAAGAGGGAUAUUGAUUCAAAGUUUUAUCACUUGUAUUAGUUUGAAUUCAUUUAGAAUAAGACCUUUCGUUUUGUUAAA
Salvia splendens (bonfire salvia) is the source of this 1549-nucleotide long non-coding RNA. RefSeq lists it as uncharacterized. The transcript is spliced from 2 exons. The record is from RefSeq and is a predicted model, not a curated record. NCBI's taxonomy places the organism in Eukaryota, Viridiplantae, Streptophyta, Magnoliopsida, Lamiales, Lamiaceae.